Non-coding RNA from Camellia sinensis, 1023 nucleotides. The record is from RefSeq and is a predicted model, not a curated record. NCBI's taxonomy places the organism in Eukaryota, Viridiplantae, Streptophyta, Magnoliopsida, Ericales, Theaceae.
CUAUUCUAACCACUAAAUUUCGGGCCAUCAACCGUUGCAGGUUCUAGUAGUCAGGUUAUUGCACGCCUCUCUCCAUUCCUCUCUUUUCCUCUCCAUCGUCUUCUUUGUGUAGGUAGGUAGGCCCAUGGAAGAGGAAUACUCAGUUAGCGAUCCUACUCUGCUACUCAUCUCAGCUUCCAAUUUCGCAUUUCAUCCCGGUUUUCAAUCUGACUCUUCUACAAAGGAAUUCCUUGAUCGCUUCCCCCUUCCAGUCAUCAUCAAUGCUUUACAAACGAAAGGGGAUGUGCCUGGUCUUGAGAAUGCUUUGGUUGCUUGUCUGGAGAGGAUAUUUAAGACAAAAUAUGGGGCCUCCCUCAUUCCACAGUACAUGGCUAAAGCAAACCAAACCAAAUCAAGCCUUAAGUCCUAUCAAACGAGGUUGGCUACAUGCAGUGGCGGAGCUACAUGGAGGGCAGGGGGGUCACAUGCCCCUCCCCCUGGUUUUGGAUUUACAAUUUUUUUUAGUUUUUUUCUUAGUAGUAGGAAUCGUCUCAGAUGGCGACGACUCCGAGGAAAAAGUGCGAUUUUGCGCUUCUGAGGAAGGAUCGCAUCAGAAUUCAGAAUCGCGAAUCUGAUGCGAGAAGGAAGCAUAUCUCAGUUGGAGCUAAGAUAUUGUGUUUGGUUAAACAUAUAGUUUUGCAAAGAAAGGGAUAAUGGUUUUUGCUCUGCAUGAGGAGCCUGAUCUCACAGAGCUAGUUGGGGAUUUCAAAGUUCAUAUUCAGAUCACCAAGGAGACUUUCAAUGGUAUACCAGCUAGACUCUUUUCAAUCCAUAACCGACAACACCACCACCAAAAUUAGCUCCACAUUCAGUUUGUUCUUCAUUUUUUUGAACCAAUAAGCUUUCCACUUCGCUCAUGAUGGGACCUGAGCUUUGUUCCUAAUUUACAAGCAUUGGAGAGCUUUGUUCCUAAAUAUCCAAUGUACUGAUUGGUGAAUUUUAGAUUUUAUUUUAUUAUUUUAUUUUUUUUUAGGAUUUGGGUGA